Molecule: small nucleolar RNA, 78 nt
Filed under: Schizosaccharomyces pombe (fission yeast)
Lineage: Eukaryota; Fungi; Ascomycota; Schizosaccharomycetes; Schizosaccharomycetales; Schizosaccharomycetaceae
Description: small nucleolar RNA R39b (predicted)
Source: RNAcentral
CAAGAUGAUGACAACAAAUUUCGGAUAGCUAGCUUAGGCUGUGCGCGUUCCACAAUUUACCAUCUUUCGGGACUGAUU